This 490-nucleotide ribosomal RNA is filed under the name uncultured bacterium. RNAcentral's name for it is "partial 16S ribosomal RNA". It matches the Rfam family "Bacterial small subunit ribosomal RNA", at positions 30 to 507 of the family's 1533-position model. The record is from RNAcentral.
AUUGAACGCUGGCGGCAGGCUUAACACAUGCAAGUCGAGCGGUAGCACAGGGGAGCUUGCUCCCUGGGUGACGAGCGGCGGACGGGUGAGUAAUGUCUGUGAAACUGCCUGAUGGAGGGGGAUAACUACUGGAAACGGUAGCUAAUACCGCAUAACGUCGCAAGACCAAAGAGGGGGACCUUCGGGCCUCUUGCCAUCAGAUGUGCCCAGAUGGGAUUAGCUAGUAGGUGGGGUAAUGGCUCACCUAGGCGACGAUCCCUAGCUGGUCUGAGAGGAUGACCAGCCACACUGGAACUGAGACACGGUCCAGACUCCUACGGGAGGCAGCAGUGGGGAAUAUUGCACAAUGGGCGCAAGCCUGAUGCAGCCAUGCCGCGUGUGUGAAGAAGGCCUUCGGGUUGUAAAGCACUUUCAGCGAGGAGGAAGGUGGUGAGCUUAAUACGUUCAUCAAUUGACGUUACUCGCAGAAGAAGCACCGGCUAACUCCGUG